This 254-nucleotide ribosomal RNA is filed under the name uncultured bacterium. RNAcentral describes it as "partial 16S ribosomal RNA". It matches the Rfam family "Bacterial small subunit ribosomal RNA", at positions 524 to 776 of the family's 1533-position model. The record is from RNAcentral.
UACGUAGGGUGCAAGCGUUAUCCGGAAUUAUUGGGCGUAAAGAGCUCGUAGGCGGUUUGUCGCGUCUGCUGUGAAAACCCGAGGCUCAACCUCGGGCCUGCAGUGGGUACGGGCAGACUAGAGUGCGGUAGGGGAGAUUGGAAUUCCUGGUGUAGCGGUGGAAUGCGCAGAUAUCAGGAGGAACACCGAUGGCGGAGGCAGAUCUCUGGGGCCGUAACUGACGCUGAGGAGCGAAAGCGUGGGGAGCGAACAGG